UCAGCAAGCCGGAUGGCCGCUCCGCCAGUAUUGCGUAUCAGGCGGGGAGGAAAGUCCGGGCUCCACGGAAACACGGUGCCGGAUAACGUCCGGCGGGGGCGACCCCAGGGAAAGUGCCACAGAAAGCAAACCGCCCGCCCUCGCUUCGGCCAGGCGGGUAAGGGUGAAAGGGUGCGGUAAGAGCGCACCGCGUCCUUGGCAACAGGGAUGGCAGGGCAAACCCCACCGGGAGCAAGACCAAAUAGGGGUCGCGCGGACGAGCAAUCGUCCAAGUCUGUUUCCAGACAAGCGACCCGGGUUGGUUGCACGAGGCGCUUCGCAAGAUGCGCCCCAGAUGAAUGGCCAUCGUCUCGCAUUGCGAGACACAGAACCCGGCUUACAGGCUUGGUGACAUG
This 395-nucleotide RNase P RNA is filed under the name Methyloceanibacter superfactus. Its description in RNAcentral is "Bacterial RNase P class A". It matches the Rfam family "Bacterial RNase P class A". From Rfam's summary of the family: Ribonuclease P (RNase P) is a ubiquitous endoribonuclease, found in archaea, bacteria and eukarya as well as chloroplasts and mitochondria. Its best characterised activity is the generation of mature 5'-ends of tRNAs by cleaving the 5'-leader elements of precursor-tRNAs. The record is from Rfam by way of RNAcentral. Lineage: Bacteria; Pseudomonadati; Pseudomonadota; Alphaproteobacteria; Hyphomicrobiales; Hyphomicrobiaceae.